This 599-nucleotide ribosomal RNA is filed under the name uncultured bacterium. Its description in RNAcentral is "bacterial SSU rRNA". It matches the Rfam family "Bacterial small subunit ribosomal RNA", at positions 331 to 929 of the family's 1533-position model. The record is from RNAcentral.
CCAGACUCAUACGGGAGGCAGCAGUGAGGAAUAUUGGUCAAUGGGCGAGAGCCUGAACCAGCCAAGUAGCGUGCAGGAAGACGGCCCUAUGGGUUGUAAACUGCUUUUAUGCGGGGAUAAAGUGAGGGACGUGUCCUUCAUUGCAGGUACCGCAUGAAUAAGGACCGGCUAAUUCCGUGCCAGCAGCCGCGGUAAUACGGAAGGUCCGGGCGUUAUCCGGAUUUAUUGGGUUUAAAGGGAGCGUAGGCCGUGGAUUAAGCGUGUUGUGAAAUGCAGGUGCUCAACGUCUGCACUGCAGCGCGAACUGGUUCACUUGAGUGUGCACAACGCAGGCGGAAUUCGUCGUGUAGCGGUGAAAUGCUUAGAUAUGACGAAGAACUCCGAUUGCGAAGGCAGCUUGCGGGAGCACAACUGACGCUGAAGCUCGAAAGUGCGGGUAUCGAACAGGAUUAGAUACCCUGGUAGUCCGCACGGUAAACGAUGGAUGCCCGUUGUCAGGCUGUUUCAGUCUGGUGACCAAGCGAAAGCAUUAAGCAUCCCACCUGGGGAGUACGCCGGCAACGGUGAAACUCAAAGGAAUUGACGGGGGCCCGCACAAG